UACAGAGGUCCCAAGCGUUGUUCGGAUUCAUUGGGCGUAAAGGGUGCGUAGGCGGCGCGGUAAGUCGGGUGUGAAAUCUCGGGGCUUAACUCCGAAACUGCAUUCGAUACUGCCGUGCUUGAGGACUGGAGAGGAGACUGGAAUUUACGGUGUAGCGGUGAAAUGCGUAGAUAUCGUAAGGAAGACCAGUGGCGAAGGCGGGGCUCUGGACAGUUCCUGACGCUGAGGCACGAAGGCCAGGGGAGCAAACGGG
This 253-nucleotide ribosomal RNA is filed under the name uncultured bacterium. Its description in RNAcentral is "partial 16S ribosomal RNA". It matches the Rfam family "Bacterial small subunit ribosomal RNA", at positions 524 to 776 of the family's 1533-position model. The record is from RNAcentral.